CUGGCGCACGGGUGAGUAACGCGUAUCCAACCUGCCCUUUACUUGGGGAUAACCCGUUGAAAGACGGACUAAUACCCAAUGAUAUUCAUUGAUGACAUCUGAUUUGAAUUAAAGAUUUAUCGGUAUAGGAUGGGGAUGCGUCUGAUUAGCUUGUUGGUGAGGUAACGGCUCACCAAGGCCACGAUCAGUAGGGGUUCUGAGAGGAAGGUCCCCCACAUUGGAACUGAGACACGGUCCAAACUCCUACGGGAGGCAGCAGCC
This 261-nucleotide ribosomal RNA is filed under the name uncultured Prevotella sp. RNAcentral's name for it is "partial 16S ribosomal RNA". It matches the Rfam family "Bacterial small subunit ribosomal RNA", at positions 95 to 355 of the family's 1533-position model. The record is from RNAcentral. Lineage: Bacteria; Pseudomonadati; Bacteroidota; Bacteroidia; Bacteroidales; Prevotellaceae.